This 253-nucleotide ribosomal RNA is filed under the name uncultured bacterium. RNAcentral describes it as "partial 16S ribosomal RNA". It matches the Rfam family "Bacterial small subunit ribosomal RNA", at positions 524 to 776 of the family's 1533-position model. The record is from RNAcentral.
UACGUAGGGGCCUAGCGUUGUCCGGAUUUAUUGGGCGUAAAGAGCUCGUAGGCGGUUCGGUAAGUCAGGUGUGAAAUCUCCACGCUCAACGUGGAGGCGCCACCUGAAACUGCCGUGACUCGAGUCCGGUAGGGGAGUGUGGAAUUCCCGGUGUAGCGGUGAAAUGCGCAGAUAUCGGGAGGAACACCGAUGGCGAAGGCAAUCCCCUGGACCUGUACUGACGCUCAUGCACGAAAGCGUGGGAGCAAACAGG